RNAcentral lists this ribosomal RNA (394 nucleotides) under Ovis vignei (urial). RNAcentral describes it as "partial 12S ribosomal RNA". It matches the Rfam family "Bacterial small subunit ribosomal RNA", at positions 798 to 1386 of the family's 1533-position model. The record is from RNAcentral. Lineage: Eukaryota; Metazoa; Chordata; Mammalia; Artiodactyla; Bovidae.
CCCCUUAAACACAAAUAAUUAUAAGAAACAAAAUUAUUCGCCAGAGUACUACCGGCAACAGCCCGAAACUCAAAGGACUUGGCGGUGCUUUAUACCCUUCUAGAGGAGCCUGUUCUAUAAUCGAUAAACCCCGAUAAACCUCACCAAUCCUUGCUAAUACAGUCUAUAUACCGCCAUCUUCAGCAAACCCUAAAAGAAGGAACAAAAGUAAGCUCAAUAAUAGCACAUAAAGACGUUAGGUCAAGGUGUAACCUAUGGAGUGGGAAGAAAUGGGCUACAUUUUCUACCCAAGAAAAUUCAAUACGAAAGCCAUUAUGAAAUUAAUAGCCAAAGGAGGAUUUAGCAGUAAACUAAGAAUAGAGUGCUUAGUUGAAUCAGGGCGGGAAGCACGCAC